RNAcentral lists this ribosomal RNA (1350 nucleotides) under uncultured organism. Its description in RNAcentral is "16S ribosomal RNA". It matches the Rfam family "Bacterial small subunit ribosomal RNA". The record is from RNAcentral.
CGGCGCGCUUAUACAUGCAAGUCGAGCGAUGAGGCACCUUCGGGUGUACAUCAGCGGCAGACGGGUGAGUAACACGUGGGUGACCUACCCUAAAGACGGGGAUAACCCGCGGAAACGGGGGCUAAUACCGGAUAGCUACAGCGUACGGGGGUAUGUUGUAGAAAGCUACGGCGCUUUAGGAGGGGCCUGCGGCCCAUCAGCUAGUUGGUAGGGUAACGGCCUACCAAGGCAAAGACGGGUAGGGGGUGUGAGAGCACGGCCCCCACAAUGGGACUGGAACACGGCCCAUACUCCUACGGGAGGCAGCAGCAGGGAAUAUUGCGCAAUGGGCGAAAGCCCGACGCAGCGACGCCGCGUGAGUGAAGACGGCUUUCGAGUUGUAAAACUCUUUUCUGGGGGAAGAGGAAGGACGGUACCCGAGGAAUAAGCGUCGGCUAACUACGUGCCAGCAGCCGCGGUAAGACGUAGGACGCGAGCGUUAUCCGGAUUUACUGGGCGUAAAGCGCCUGCAGGCGGCUCUGUAAGUUGGGCGUGAAAGCCCCGUGCUUAACGCGGGGAAGCCGUUCAAUACUGCGGAGCUAGAGUACGGCAGAGGGGAGUGGAAUUCCUGGAGUAGCGGUAAAAUGCGCAGAUAUCAGGAGGAACACCAGUGGCGAAGGCGGCUCCCUGGGCCGAGACUGACGCUCAGAGGCGAAAGCUAGGGGAGCGAACAGGAUUAGAGACCCUGGUAGUCCUAGCCCUAAACGAUGGAUGCUAGGUGUGGGGACGAGGAGUUUCCGUGCCGGAGCAAACGCGAUAAGCAUCCCGCCUGGGGACUACGGCCGCAAGGUUAAAACUCAAACGAAUUGACGGGGGCCCGCACAAGCAGCGGAGCGUGUGGUUUAAUUCGAUGCUACACGAAGAACCUUACCUGGGUUUGACAUGUAGGUGGUAGCGAGGCGAAAGCUGAGCGACCCUUCGGGGAGCCUACACAGGUGCUGCAUGGCUGUCGUCAGCUCGUGCCGUGAGGUGUCGGGUUAAGUCCCGUAACGAGCGCAACCCUUGCUCCUAGUUAUACGUGUCUAGGGGGACUGCCGGCGGGAAGCCGGAGGAAGGUGGGGAUGACGUCAAGUCAGCAUGGCCCUUAUGUCCAGGGCUACACACACGCUACAAUGGCCAGUACAAAGGGUAGCGAAGCCGCGAGGUGGAGCGAAUCUCAGCAAAGCUGGUCGUAGUUCGGAUUGCAGGCUGCAACCCGCCUGCAUGAAGCUGGAGUUGCUAGUAACCGCGCGUCAGCUAUAGUGCGGCGAAUACGUUCCCGGGCCUUGUACACACCGCCCGUCACGUCAUGGGAGUCUGUAACGCCUGAAG